Long non-coding RNA from Oncorhynchus nerka (sockeye salmon), 996 nucleotides. RefSeq lists it as uncharacterized. The record is from RefSeq and is a predicted model, not a curated record. Lineage: Eukaryota; Metazoa; Chordata; Actinopteri; Salmoniformes; Salmonidae. The transcript has 2 exons.
AUUAUUUGUGCCGGAACGGAGAGGUGAGGAGUGAUACAGUGUAUUCCAGAGUAAAGUGCUUGGAAUUGACACCAAUCUCUUCAAUGUGGUCAACCAAGUAUGGGGAAAUGUGUGCAAGGUAUGAUGUUUAAGGAAGUGCUUUGUGAGCGUGCACACCAAGAACACUUUACAUUCAUCAAACUACUAACAUAUAAAACCAACAACCAAUGGAAAUUAUAGUACGCCUUUAAAAUACAUGCCCAAAGUCAUUUCUAACCAUAUCACUGGUCUGUCCAUACUGCUUACAAGGUGGUGGAACUCAGCGAUGAGGGCUGGGUCCAAGAUGUUCCAAGCGGGGACCUAGCACCCCUCCUCUGGGCCAUAACCAUCCCAGUCAACCAGGUACUGGAAUCCCCUGCCCCGAGGUCGAGCACUCAGGAGGCGCCUCACCGGGUAAGCUGGAUGUCCGUCAAUGAGACGGGGGAGAGGGGUGGGCCUGGAAACAGGAGACAAAGGGCUGUGAGACAGAGGUUUAAUCCUGGACACAUGAAAAGUGGCAUGUAUACAGAGGCUAAGAAUCUUAGCGAUGUGGAAAGGGCUGAUAAAACAGGGGGAAAGUUUAUGGGACUCCACUCGGAUGGGCAGAUCCCGAGUGUACAGCCAUACCCUCUGCCAAAGACAGUAGCGGGGAUCAGGGGUCCGGUGGCGGUCCGCCUGUCGCCGAUACCUGGAGGUAGUCUUGAGAAGAGCAGAGUUUGCUGAGCACACAUACAGUGCGGGCGGUGACGAAUGCAGAGACAUCAGGAACCAUGGUGGGCCACCAAAAAUGUUGUCGUACAAAGGUGUCGUGUCUUUGGCUAUGCUGGAUUAAGUAAUAUGACAUGCUAUUCUAUAAAAUUAUUUCUCCGUAAUUACUAUUACCUGAUUGAGAUAAUCAUGUAAAUGUAAUUAACUAGAAAGAAUAUUUAUAGAGCUGUUAUCUUCCGAAUAAACUCUUAAAAAUCUAGUAAUAUUUUA